CCAUCAUCACCAUCACCCUGACUAGUCUUUCAGGCGAUGUGUGCUGGAAGACGAUCAGGAUCUUCCAGUGGUGCAGAACGCGAAAUCAGCCCCCGGAAGAUCGCCUUCCGGGGGCUUUUUUUU
Molecule: non-coding RNA, 123 nt
Organism: Triticum urartu
Lineage: Eukaryota; Viridiplantae; Streptophyta; Magnoliopsida; Poales; Poaceae
Source: Rfam